GACGAACGCUGGCGGCGUGCCUAAUACAUGCAAGUGGGACGCAAGGGAACACACUGUGCUUGCACACCGUGUUUUCUUGAGUCGCGAACGGGUGAGUAACGCGUAGGUAACCUGCCUAUUAGCGGGGGAUAACUAUUGGAAACGAUAGCUAAUACCGCAUAAUAUUAAUUAUUGCAUGAUAAUUGAUUGAAAGAUGCAAGCGCAUCACUAGUAGAUGGACCUGCGUUGUAUUAGCUAGUUGGUAAGGUAAGAGCUUACCAAGGCGACGAUACAUAGCCGACCUGAGAGGGUGAUCGGCCACACUGGGACUGAGACACGGCCCAGACUCCUACGGGAGGCAGCAGUAGGGAAUCUUCGGCAAUGGACGAAGGUCUGACCGAGCAACGCCGCGUGAGUGAAGAAGGUUUUCGGAUCGUAAAGCUCUGUUGUAAGUCAAGAACGUGUGUGAGAGUGGAAAGUUCACACAGUGACG
This 472-nucleotide ribosomal RNA is filed under the name Streptococcus mutans. RNAcentral describes it as "bacterial SSU rRNA". It matches the Rfam family "Bacterial small subunit ribosomal RNA", at positions 28 to 474 of the family's 1533-position model. Lineage: Bacteria; Bacillati; Bacillota; Bacilli; Lactobacillales; Streptococcaceae. The record is from RNAcentral.